Molecule: ribosomal RNA, 478 nt
Filed under: uncultured bacterium
Lineage: Bacteria
Description: partial 16S ribosomal RNA
Rfam family: Bacterial small subunit ribosomal RNA
Source: RNAcentral
AUGAACGCUAGCGGGAGGCCUAACACCUGCAAGCCGAGCGGUAUUUGUUCUUCGGAACAGAGAGAGCGGCGCACGGGUGCGGAACACGUGUGCAACCUGCCUUUAUCUGGGGGAUAGCCUUUCGAAAGGAAGAUUAAUACCCCAUAAUAUAUUGAGUGGCAUCAUUUGAUAUUGAAAACUCCGGUGGAUAGAGAUGGGCACGCGCAAGAUUAGAUAGUUGGUGAGGUAACGGCUCACCAAGUCAAUGAUCUUUAGGGGGCCUGAGAGGGUGAUCCCCCACACUGGUACUGAGACACGGACCAGACUCCUACGGGAGGCAGCAGUGAGGAAUAUUGGACAAUGGGUUAGCGCCUGAUCCAGCCAUCCCGCGUGAAGGACGACGGCCCUAUGGGUUGUAAACUUCUUUUGUAUAGGGAUAAACCUACUCUCGUGAGAGUAGCUGAAGGUACUAUACGAAUAAGCACCGGCUAACUCCGUG